UUAUUUUAGUCAGACUAUGAUUGUAUGAAAGUUAAAAUAGCAUUUUAUCAGUUGAAGUUAAUGGGAUUAUAGUCAAAUUUAAGUGGAAGUUGAGGAUUCCUUCUUCGAAAGUAGCCAUUUCAUGCAUAAUUGUGAUUAUCAUUAUCGAAGCCUUCUCCCUCCUAUUUGGGGUUAGCUUUAUGAGUCUUGUUUUUCCGAUACUUUUUUUUAAGGCCCUAAUUCCAAGACCUUUUGGGUCUUCCUCUCAUACUCGUUUCAGGCCCUUUUAGCUAGAUCAAAGUUUCCCUACUUUUGGACAGUGUUUGGUCUUUGAUGCUCAUGAACAAACCAUCUCAAGUUCGUUAUUUAUCUUUUAUUAGGACUACCUACGAAUUGUUUCAUCUGAACUCAUUCUUAAUUCAAUCUUGUCGAGUCUUUCAACACAUCCAUCUCAACAUCCUCAUCUCUAAAAUAGUCAAUCUCUGUUCAUGUUACCUUUGUAACUGCACAACACUACUGACCACAUAGCAUAGCUGGUUGAAUAGUUGUGUUAUAAGAUUUGAAAUGAGAAUUUUCACGAUUUCUUGGCAAAAGUUCAAUGACUCAUGACCACUCAUAUGCUAAAUUGGUUCGUGUGUGGGAUGUGAGAGAUGCGUAAGGUGGACCCCCACCUUAUUGAUGUCAUGGCCCUUAAGUCAGCCAGUCCACUUAUCAGGGGCUAAACAAGUGUUAAAGCAAUGGCCGGCUUGAAAAAAGAAAGCCAGGUAUACAGUAUCUAUCAUUAGACAUGUAUGGCCUCCCUGUUGAGUAGAUGAGACUAUCCAUCUUAUGAAGUUCUUAAUUGUGAGGGAGUGCUGCACAGGUGUAGAGUGCUGGUUCGUUCAGCCUCACAGGUGGACUUACUGUUGCUCCUGAUUGCCAAGAAGCAGAGGGAAGAUUAUCUGCAACAAAUGGAUCUUUACAAACAGAAGAAGAAUGAGCAAAUUCAGCAAGUAGUAAGAAGAAGGGAAUGUGGGUAAAUACAGGUAAAUCCCUUUACUAUUGUAUUGCAUUGUAUGGUUUAUGAAAUUACCAGACUAUUAAAAAACUUCUUGUAGAGAUCUAGUUUAUGAGAUUGUCUUUUCAUUUUAAGACGACAAUGUCUUUUUCUUUUUCUUUUUUUUUUUUGCCAGAUGGAAGUGGAAGUUUCAUUCCAACAAGUAGAUGCAGAAAAGUAAAUUAUUUUUCUCAACGCAAGUCCUCUCUAUAACUGAUUGAAAAUAUAGAUGGUACUCUUAUUUUUUGGUAAUAUUAUUUUUCAAAAUAUAGAAAAUAUAGACCAUGCAGGUAUCCUUGACUGUCUUUCAUUAUUUAGACCAAAACAGUGAUACAAAGGGAAUGUGGGUAAAUACAGGAAAAACACAUUCUGUCCUUUCAUCAAUUUUGUUACCUUAAACAUAGUUAUAUUUAACAAUGAUAACUUACUGCAAAUAAUUGUGGCUGAG
Magnolia sinica is the source of this 1463-nucleotide long non-coding RNA. RefSeq lists it as uncharacterized. The record is from RefSeq and is a predicted model, not a curated record. NCBI's taxonomy places the organism in Eukaryota, Viridiplantae, Streptophyta, Magnoliopsida, Magnoliales, Magnoliaceae. The transcript is spliced from 3 exons.